Molecule: small nucleolar RNA, 218 nt
Filed under: Sorex araneus (European shrew)
Lineage: Eukaryota; Metazoa; Chordata; Mammalia; Eulipotyphla; Soricidae
Description: Small nucleolar RNA U3 (ENSSARG00000015847.1)
Rfam family: Small nucleolar RNA U3
About the family: Small nucleolar RNAs (snoRNAs) are involved in the processing and modification of rRNA in the nucleolus. There are two main classes of snoRNAs: the box C/D class, and the box H/ACA class. U3 snoRNA is a member of the box C/D class.
Source: RNAcentral
AAGACUAUACUUUCAGGGAUCAUUUCUAUAGUCCGUUACUAGAGAAGUUUCUCUGAUCGUGUGGAGCACCCGAACCUGCCAAACAGUCUCUGGAGGAGCCCAAGCACCCUCUUUGGAGUGGGAGCUGGUUCCAGGGGUUGCUUUUGCAACUGCCUUUUACCACUAGUGAUGUUUCUUCUCCCCUUGGAAGAGUGUAGGAGAGGAUGCAGUCUGAGUGG